RNAcentral lists this ribosomal RNA (1328 nucleotides) under uncultured bacterium. RNAcentral's name for it is "bacterial SSU rRNA". It matches the Rfam family "Bacterial small subunit ribosomal RNA", at positions 138 to 1476 of the family's 1533-position model. The record is from RNAcentral.
CCGGAGACUAACUCUAGAGAAACCGGGGCUAAUACCGGACUACCCACCAGAGGACGCAUGUUCUUUGGUGGAAAGGCUCCGCCGGUUCGGUGAUGGGCUCGCGGUCUAUCAGCUUGUUGGUGGUGGUAAGCGGCCUACCAAGGCGACCACGGGUAGCCGGCCUUAGAGGGUGUCCGGCCACACUGGGUACUGAGACACGGCCCAGACUCCUACGGGAGGCAGCAGUAGGAAUCUUGUCGCAAUGGGCGAAAGCCUGACGCAGCGACGCCGCGUGGGGGACGCAAGCCUUCGUGGUUGUAACCCCUUUCAUCGGGGAAGAAGUCGAAUAGUGACUGUACCCGCAGAAGAAGCCCCGGCCAACUACGUGCCAGCAGCCGCGGUAAUACGUAGAGGGCGAGCGUUGUCCGGAUUCACUGGGCGUAAAGAGCUCGUAGCGGCUACGGAAGUCGGCUGCUGAAAGCCCGGGGCUCAACCCCGGGAGGCCAGUCGAUACUCCGUGGCUAGAGGACGGCAGAGGGAGAUGGAAUCCCGGUGUAGCGGUGAAAAUGCGCAGAUAUCGGGAGGAACACCAGUGGCGAAGGCGGUCUCCUGGGCCGUUCCUGACGGUGAGGAGCGAAAGCUGGGGGAGCGAACAGGAUUUGAUACCCUGGUAGUCCCAGCCGUAAAACGAUGGGGCACUAGGCGUGGGGGGUUGUCUACACCUUCCGUGCCGAAGCUAACGCGUUAAGUGUCCCGCCUGGGGAGUACGGCCGCAAGGCUAAAACUCAAAGGAAUUGACGGGGGCCCGCACAAGCAGCGGAGCGUGGGGUUUAAUUCGAGGCUACACGAAGAACCUUACCCGGGCUUGACAUGCGCGUGGUAGGGAAGGGAAACCGGACCGACCCGCAAGGGAGCGCGCACAGGUGCUGCAUGGCUGUCGUCAGCUCGUGCCGUGAGGUGUUAGGUUAAGUCCUGUAACGAGCGCAACCCCUGCCCCUAGUUACACGUGUCUAGGGGGACUGCCAGCGAUAAGCUGGAGGAAGGUGGGGAUGACGUCAAGUCAGCAUGGCCUGUAUGUCCUGGGCGACACACACGCUACAAUGGCCGGUGCAAUGGGCAGCCAACCCGCGAGGGGGAGCCAAUCCCAUCAAAGCCGGUCUCAGUUGGGAUUGCAGGCUGCAACCCGCCUGCAUGAAGGCGGAGUUGCUAGUAACCGCGCAUCAGCCAUGGUGCGGUGAAUACGUUCCCGGGCCUUGCACACACCGCCCGUCACGUCAUGGGAGCUGGCAACACCUGAAGCCGAAGGGCCAACCGCAAGGAGGCAGCCGUCGAGGGUGGGGCUGGCGACU